ACUGUAUCUGUCCACACACACAAGCACUGUUCAGUGAUGUGAUAUGUCUGCAAAGGUACACACUUUUGUUGACUUGAUGAAAUAACUAACCAGAGGUGCCUGAGUGUACAUGGACAGGGACAGCUCCUGAUAUCUACAGAGCAACAGAGAUGGUAUAGGAGCACAAACAGAAGGACUGUGGGAACACAAGAACUACUGGAAACAUCUCACUCAUUAACAUAUGUAGUUAAUCAAGCGGAAGUUUUUUGACUUUUUGAGAAC
Molecule: long non-coding RNA, 261 nt
Filed under: Sinocyclocheilus grahami
Lineage: Eukaryota; Metazoa; Chordata; Actinopteri; Cypriniformes; Cyprinidae
Description: lncRNA (ENSSGRG00000053604.1)
Source: RNAcentral